RNAcentral lists this ribosomal RNA (692 nucleotides) under uncultured Staphylococcus sp. RNAcentral's name for it is "bacterial SSU rRNA". It matches the Rfam family "Bacterial small subunit ribosomal RNA", at positions 52 to 726 of the family's 1533-position model. Lineage: Bacteria; Bacillati; Bacillota; Bacilli; Caryophanales; Staphylococcaceae. The record is from RNAcentral.
UACAUGCAAGUCGAGCGAACAGACGAGGAGCUUGCUCCUCUGACGUUAGCGGCGGACGGGUGAGUAACACGCGGAUAACCUACCUAUAAGACUGGGAUAACUUCGGGAAACCGGAGCUAAUACCGGAUAAUAUAUUGAACCGCAUGGUUCAAUAGUGAAAGACGGUUUUGCUGUCACUUAUAGAUGGAUCCGCGCCGCAUUAGCUAGUUGGUAAGGUAACGGCUUACCAAGGCAACGAUGCAUAGCCGACCUGAGAGGGUGAUCGGCCACACUGGAACUGAGACACGGUCCAGACUCCUACGGGAGGCAGCAGUAGGGAAUCUUCCGCAAUGGGCGAAAGCCUGACGGAGCAACGCCGCGUGAGUGAUGAAGGUCUUCGGAUCGUAAAACUCUGUUAUUAGGGAAGAACAUAUGUGUAAGUAACUGUGCACAUCUUGACGGUACCUAAUCAGAAAGCCACGGCUAACUACGUGCCAGCAGCCGCAGUAAUACGUAGGUGGCAAGCGUUAUCCGGAAUUAUUGGGCGUAAAGCGCGCGUAGGCGGUUUUUUAAGUCUGAUGUGAAAGCCCACGGCUCAACCGUGGAGGGUCAUUGGAAACUGGAAAACUUGAGUGCAGAAGAGGAAAGUGGAAUUCCAUGUGUAGCGGUGAAAUGCGCAGAGAUAUGGAGGAACACCAGUGGCGAAGGCGACU